Helianthus annuus (common sunflower) is the source of this 2197-nucleotide long non-coding RNA. RefSeq lists it as uncharacterized. NCBI's taxonomy places the organism in Eukaryota, Viridiplantae, Streptophyta, Magnoliopsida, Asterales, Asteraceae. The transcript is spliced from 3 exons. The record is from RefSeq and is a predicted model, not a curated record.
UUUCUAAAUACAAAAGCGCCAGUUCGAUCCCUUCUUUUUCACUUCUCUUUUUGAGAAUAUCUCUCCACCCUAAUUUCAUCUUAGAAACCCUAACACCAACCCACCAUCACCGCUCCACCAUCCAUCUCUUGCACCACCAUAUCCGGCCACCUAUCCACACUCCUUUAACCCUUUCCUCACAACACUUUCGCCAAAAACCCCACUUCCCAACUGAGACCGUCAUCAUCUCCGGUCUUGCCCGUUUGUAGUCGUCGGAAAACUAGCUGAGGUUGGAACCCUUUCUUCACCGCGAGUAACUCCACCACCGUCGGUGGCUGAUCUGGUCUAAAUUCACACACCCCCCGUCGACCUGAAGCAGGGAUUUGUAAAUUACUACCGAGUCUCGUCUUGGCAUAAAGUUUAACCUUGGACCGAUCACCAAUGUGCUAUCAACCACAACCCGAGUCACUGGAACCCUUCUUUAAGCUGAUAGAGGUGUCAGGUAUACAACAUAGUAUACCUGAAUAUAACAUAAUAAUAGAUUUGUACAGACAUAGUAUACCUGAUAGAGGUGUCAGGUAUACAACAUAGUAUACCUGAAUACAACAUAAUAAUAGAUUUGUAGAGACAUAGUAUACCUGAUAGAGGUGUCAGGUAUACAACAUAGUAUACCUGAAUACAACAUUGGGUUGUGACGAGACUCUGGUUAACUUCAGCAAGAAUUCCGGUAAGCCUCGAUUCAGUUGCAUGUUUCUUUUUCAGUUAGAUCAGUAUAUGUUGUGUCCGUCCAAGCUAUUUUCGGUAUUACGGUGAUGAUUCUAAUGACUAACUAACUACACAAAGGCAUAUUUAUGUUUUAAGCUUGAACGUCUGUUGGUAGAGAUAACACAUCUAUGUUAUAUAUCAUAAGAUGAUUAUUUUUGUUUUCAAUUGUAGAACAAUGGCUACCAUUUAAGAUUUCCUUCCACAACUAUAGGCUUAACUUUUGAGCUUUUGAGGAUAAGCAUAAGUAAAUUUUCUAUUAGUUUAUUAAUAAGAGGAAUCCAUAGAUUUAUGAUUAUAUAAGAUUGAAAUAAAAUAUUUUUGGUGCUUUAGCUGUUUGGAACCACCUUCGCUGACCAUGGAUAUUUACUUUACACAUUCUAACAGAGACAUAGUAUACCUGAAUACAACAUAAUAAUAGAUUUUUUGAGGUGUCAGGUAUUUUGUUUAUUUGCUGGUGGAUAAUGGCAGUUUUAGCACACAUACGCUAAUUACUGUCUUAGAUGUUAACAUAUGUGAACUGUGCUACCGAUAAACUAACACCUAUAAAUAACAUAUGGCCGUAACGAAGACAUAGAGGCAACAUUAUGAGGGGAAAUCGCAACUAUUCGCAAGGUCACCAAACGGGUCAACAGGCCAGAGGUGGAGAUCUUAACAAGGCGAAUCAUCAUAUAAUAUACACGCGCCCUCCAAACGAAAUAUUUGAACACUUCGUUAAAACUAACUAUACAGGUUGUCCAAGAAAUAUAUAGCAUGUGCAAAUCUCCCUCUUGACGUCUAUUUGAUUAUAGCUGCUGUUGUAGUUCUGUGGCGUCACCAUUAGCCGACGGUGGAGGUAAAUAGACCUGCAUCCCUUGCUAUCCACUAUUGUGACUCGGCUAGCCACCAGAUCAACAUUACUUGCCACUGCUGCAGCUGCUUAAACUCUGCCUUUUGAGCUUUGGGUGAUAUUUGCUUUUGUUAUACACAUUAUAACAUAGGGGGAAUAUAAUGGUGUGUAUGGUUCGCUUUGCACUAAAGGUUAUUUAUGACAUAUUUUGUUACCACAUCCUGAAGUUUCAAUUGGGUUUUGCGCGCCGCAACGCGCGCGGACGAAAAACCUAGUUGUGUUAAUAAAGACUUCAUUGUCCACCCACUUAUGGUUACUUUAUAUGGUCGAAAGCUCUUAAGGACUUUUAUCAUCAUGUUCAAGUGUCCUUCAACUGACACAUGUCCGGAGAGUUUUGAAGCGUCCAAAGGACGCAUCAGCGCCGCAAUGUGGACGCGUCACAGAUGACUUGCGACGGGCUUGAGUGGAUGCGGUUUGUUAGGAUCCGAAUUUGAAUUGUUUUUUAAUGUUUUAGAUGAAUGAUGUAACAAGAUAACAAAAAUGGAAAUAAUGCAGUGGAAUGAUAAUAAACUUUAAAUCAGAAACAAUGGAAGAUUUGCUUUCAUCAUGAUACUUUAACAGAAAGAU